AUGGAGAAUAAUCAGUCAGGUCAAGCUCAGGACGGCAUGGCCGAUCAAAGAUUUCGCAGCUGGCUAACAGAACAACUUAAUAUGCAGCAGCAGAAUGCCGGUUGUUCUUCCAACCCAGCACCAGCAGUAAUGCAGAUGCCAGCUCUGCCAUCUCACACAGAUUAUGGUGGCAUAUAUCCCAACCCAACUGAAUAUGAUGGCUACAACUGGAGGAUGUGUGGGCAGAAAUUAGUUCAGGGUGGGUGCCAUCAGAAAUUCUACUAUGAAUGUUCUCAAGCAAACUGCGGUGCCGAGAAAUCCGUGACAUGCUCCGCAGAUGGACAGAUCAAGAAAACAGUAUGUAAGGGCAGUCACAACCAUCCACGCUCAUCAGAAAGGGUGUUUGGAGAUGGUUCAGCUACUCUGGAUGCAAUCCCUGUAGGUGAGAUAUUACAAGCAGCAGGGGUUAUCAGGCCUUCAGUUGCAAUGCCUAGGAAUGAGGAGGAAGAUGGGCUACAAUCUGGUUCGAGUGACAGCGAGGAUGAUGAUGCUAGUGAAGCAAGAGCUGCUGGUGAUGACAAUGCAAUAAGACAUGUUCCUGCAGCUGCAGCUCAAGAUACCACCGCGCAUAACACAAUUGACGUUGAUGUUCUGGGUAACAGCUCUCAGCAGCGUAAGAAUUAUCACCGAAGUGGAAAAACUUCAGGAGGAACAAGCCAUCUGCGCCGACAUCUCAAGAUAUGUCCUGCACAAUUUAGAACGACUAGACUGCAGCAAGAAGGGUCAUCUUCAAUACUUGAUUCAUCUGCUGCAAAUAACAGGAAAUUUGAUCAAGAAACAUCUCUUGAAUUGCUUAUUAGGGGUUUAGUCUCCAACCAUUGCUCAUAUUUAGUGCCAAGCAGUGCAAAUUUUAGGCAGUUUUUGGUUGCCAUCUGUCCUGAUUAUAAUAUGGUGCCGCAGGCUGCUUUUGAAGAGAAUUCUCUAAUAAAAGAAGCAGUCCAAGAUUGGAAUCUUGAGCAUAAACUUUUAGGACUUGCAUUGCACAAGUAUUUCCGUAAUAAUGUUACAUCUGACUUGGAGGAGUGUAUGGCAGGAGAAGUACAGAAUUAUCUUCUUGCUAAAUAUAAGUUAUUAACUGUGCCUUGUAUGAUAGAUGCGCUUCACGACUUUUUUGGUUACGAUGUCGGAAAUUUUGUCAAGGAAAUAAGUAAGGAAUGGUUUGAGUACAUGACAUGCUCUGCACUUUGUCUGGAAAAAUACAAGGAGAUUCUUUCGCGGAUGCACCUAAACAAACCGUCUCUUGGUUCACAGAAAUGGCACUUGACUUUCUACUUAUUUGAGGCUGCUUUGCAGUUUAAUAAAGAGUUCCCAAACCCUGAAGAGAUGGACUCGCAAAUGGAUAUACGGAAACCGUCUCCUCAAAGACUAGAAGCAACGAAAAACUUUUGUGAUCUUGUAAGGCCAAUUUACCAUGCAAUUGAUCUACUUUCCAGACAAUACGUGACUUCCAACUCACAUUUUCAUGCACUUUGGAGGGUGGGUAUAGCUCUUGGAGAAUCAUCCAGAAAAUUAAACAUGAAAUGCAUCAUUAAU
This 1572-nucleotide long non-coding RNA is filed under the name Oryza sativa Indica Group (long-grained rice). RNAcentral describes it as "lncRNA OsMH63_08G006170". Lineage: Eukaryota; Viridiplantae; Streptophyta; Magnoliopsida; Poales; Poaceae. The record is from RNAcentral.